RNAcentral lists this transfer RNA (58 nucleotides) under Hyalomma marginatum. Its description in RNAcentral is "tRNA-Phe". Lineage: Eukaryota; Metazoa; Arthropoda; Arachnida; Ixodida; Ixodidae. The record is from RNAcentral.
GUUUUCAUAGUUUAAAUUAAAACAUUACACUGAAAAUGUAAAAAUAAAUUUGAAAAUA